GACGAACGCUGGCGGCGUGCUUAACACAUGCAAGUCGAACGGAAAGGCCCUGCUUUUGUGGGGUGCUCGAGUGGCGAACGGGUGAGUAACACGUGAGUAACCUGCCCUUGACUUUGGGAUAACUUCAGGAAACUGGGGCUAAUACCGGAUAGGAGCUCCUGCUGCAUGGUGGGGGUUGGAAAGUUUCGGCGGUUGGGGAUGGACUCGCGGCUUAUCAGCUUGUUGGUGGGGUAGUGGCUUACCAAGGCUUUGACGGGUAGCCGGCCUGAGAGGGUGACCGGCCACAUUGGGACUGAGAUACGGCCCAGACUCCUACGGGAGGCAGCAGUGGGGAAUAUUGCACAAUGGGCGGAAGCCUGAUGCAGCAACGCCGCGUGCGGGAUGACGGCCUUCGGGUUGUAAACCGCUUUCGCCUGUGACGAAGCGUGAGUGACGGUAAUGGGUAAAGAAGCACCGGCUAACUACGUGCCAGCAGCCGCGGUGAUACGUAGGGUGCGAGCGUUGUCCGGAUUUAUUGGGCGUAAAGGGCUCGUAGGUGGUUGAUCGCGUCGGAAGUGUAAUCUUGGGGCUUAACCCUGAGCGUGCUUUCGAUACGGGUUGACUUGAGGAAGGUAGGGGAGAAUGGAAUUCCUGGUGGAGCGGUGGAAUGCGCAGAUAUCAGGAGGAACACCAGUGGCGAAGGCGGUUCUCUGGGCCUUUCCUGACGCUGAGGAGCGAAAGCGUGGGGAGCGAACAGGCUUAGAUACCCUGGUAGUCCACGCUGUAAACGGUGGGUACUAGGUGUGGGGUCCAUUCCACGGGUUCCGUGCCGUAGCUAACGCUUUAAGUACCCCGCCUGGGGAGUACGGACGCAAGGCUAAAACUCAAAGGAAUUGACGGGGCCCCGCACAAGCGGCGGAGCAUGCGGAUUAAUUCGAUGCAACGCGUAGAACCUUACCUGGGUUUGACAUGGAUCGGGAGUGCUCAGAGAUGGGUGUGCCUCUUUUGGGGUCGGUUCACAGGCGGUGCAUGGCUGCCGUCAGCUCGUGUCGUGAGAUGUUGGGUUAAGUCCCGCAACGAGCGCAACCCUUGUUCACUGUUGCCAGCACGUUAUGGUGGGGACUCAGUGGAGACCGCCGGGGUCAACUCGGAGGAAGGUGGGGAUGACGUCAAGUCAUCAUGCCCCUUAUGUCCAGGGCUUCACGCAUGCUACAAUGGCUGGUACAGAGAGUGGCGAGCCUGUGAGGGUGAGCGAAUCUCGGAAAGCCGGUCUCAGUUCGGAUUGGGGUCUGCAACUCGACCUCAUGAAGUCGGAGUCGCUAGUAAUCGCAGAUCAGCAACGCUGCGGUGAAUACGUUCCCGGGGC
This 1345-nucleotide ribosomal RNA is filed under the name uncultured bacterium. Its description in RNAcentral is "partial 16S ribosomal RNA". It matches the Rfam family "Bacterial small subunit ribosomal RNA", at positions 28 to 1380 of the family's 1533-position model. The record is from RNAcentral.